CCUACGGGCGGCUGCAGUGGGGAAUAUUGGGCAAUGGGCGCAAGCCUGACCCAGCAACGCCGCGUGAAGGAAGAAGGCUUUCGGGUUGUAAACUUCUUUUCUCAGGGACGAAGAAAGUGACGGUACCUGAGGAAUAAGCCACGGCUAACUACGUGCCAGCAGCCGCGGUAAUACGUAGGUGGCAAGCGUUAUCCGGAUUUAUUGGGUGUAAAGGGCGUGUAGGCGGGAGCGCAAGUCAGAUGUGAAAACUCAGGGCUCAACCCUGAGCCUGCAUUUGAAACUGUGUUUCUUGAGUGCUGGGGAGGCAAUCGGAAUUCCGUGUGUAGCGGUGAAAUGCGUAGAUAUACGGAGGAACACCAGUGGCGAAGGCGGAUUGCUGGACAGUAACUGACGCUGAGGCGCGAAAGCGUGGGGAGCAAACAGGAGUAGAUACCCCAGUAGUC
RNAcentral lists this ribosomal RNA (443 nucleotides) under uncultured bacterium. RNAcentral describes it as "partial 16S ribosomal RNA". It matches the Rfam family "Bacterial small subunit ribosomal RNA", at positions 338 to 795 of the family's 1533-position model. The record is from RNAcentral.